Molecule: ribosomal RNA, 381 nt
Filed under: Triticum aestivum (bread wheat)
Lineage: Eukaryota; Viridiplantae; Streptophyta; Magnoliopsida; Poales; Poaceae
Description: partial small subunit ribosomal RNA
Source: RNAcentral
AAACUCAUCGGAUGGAACUGCUGAGGACUCGGGAACGGCCCGACAGUACGUAGCCUCCUUGAUUUGGGAAGGAUGGAGGAGCCCGACGUACUGUUUCUGGCGGAGACGAAGUUGACAAAGAAAGAGUUGGAGCAGUUUCGGUGGUCAUUGGGUUUGGCGAACAUGAUGGCUUGGAAUCCUGUGGGUCCCAGUCAAGGAGUAGCUUUAUUCUUGACACGAGGGGUAAGCAUAUCGCUUAGAUCAUAUGGGAGGCGGCAUGUUGAUGUGGAUGUAACGGAGGAUGAUGGGAGGAUUUGGAGACUUACGGGUGUAUAUGGCUGUCGGUGUACAAAAGUAGGGGUCCCUUUUUGUACCCCUUUACUUGUGCGCGGGCAGUCUUAG